RNAcentral lists this ribosomal RNA (253 nucleotides) under uncultured bacterium. RNAcentral describes it as "partial 16S ribosomal RNA". It matches the Rfam family "Bacterial small subunit ribosomal RNA", at positions 524 to 776 of the family's 1533-position model. The record is from RNAcentral.
UACAGAGGGUGCGAACGUUGCUCGGAAUUACUGGGCGUAAAGCGCAUGUAGGCGGAUCCAUAAGUCGGGCGUGAAAUCCCCAGGCUCAACCUGGGAACUGCGCUCGAAACUGUGGGUCUUGAGUGUCGGAGAGGAUGGCGGAAUUCCUGGUGUAGAGGUGAAAUUCGUAGAUAUCAGGAGGAACACCGGUGGCGAAGGCGGCCCCCUGGACCGGUACUGACGCUGAGGCGCGAAAGCGUGGGGAGCAAACGGG